ACAAGUAAUUCGGAACGGAGGGAGUAUAUCUCUGAAACAAAAUGGGCAUGGCAUGUUACAAACUUACAAUGUCCAUGCACAAAUAAACUAGCCAUAGAGUGGGCACCCUAUGCGUAGGUACAGAGCUGACCCUUAUCAGUAUAAUAGUGCGGAAGUACUAUUCAAGGCCAAUGCUAUGUUAUUUCCAUGUGACUGAUCCAUAAACUUCUUUAAAGACAUGAUUGGUGAAAGAUGUAGAAGGUUUAUGCAUGUCCGUAAAGAGAGAUCUGAAUGACUGGAAUAUCAGCAAAGAACUAGCCAUGGAUUGGGGUGCGUGGAAGUUAGCUAUCCACGUGCCAGAACCAUGACUUGGUUUCAAGAUCUUAUGGGUUUUAACUCUAGCCUACCCCAACUUAUCUCGGACUGAAAUGCUUUAUUGUUAUGCAUCCUGCAUGGCAUAUUCUUUUAGGUACGGAAAGAGAGUGUUGUUUUGGAGUUGUGCAGAAAUUAGUGCUUUUUUGGAAAUACAAUUUUGUCUAUGAACUAAGACUCCAUGUUGCAACAUGCAGGUAAUAUCCUUAUAUCUGCGAUCAAAUUUAAAAGAUGCAGGAGAGAAUAUAUUGGGUGAAAGAUCUGGUAUGCUUCUGCCUUCUUGUAACUCUCCAUAAUAGUGAUAGCAACAAAUAAAUCAAUGUCAUAAUCUUUGUUGCUCAAUCAAAUUGUUACCUUGAUAAUAGAUAAGUCCCUAGCAUUCUCCUAUUAUAAUAAAACGUAAGCUCAGUUUGCGGUUGCUAAACUGUGCUGUUCUGUGCUUAUUUUGUAAUCUGUUUUUGAAGUUAGCCACAAAAGUACGCAAAAGCGGAUCAAAUAAACACUAAAAUAUGAAAAAGCUGGUUGGACAAAUGGGAUCAUCCUUAUCCACUGCAAUACCAAAUGCAACCAUAAUAUGUUAUUUUCGUGGUAGUUUUCAUCAUUCAAAGUCAGACAUCUCACUAGCAUCUUUCACAUCCAUGCAAUCAUCCUCUGCCAGACUAAAUCUUGUGCUUUGUUCCUUUCAGAAAUCGAUUAUGUAAGUGUAUUGAAUAGAAAUCUUCCAAGAGAUAUACGUGUAAUAGGUUGGUGUCCUGUUGCAGCAGACUUUCUUGCAAGGUUAGCUUGAAUUCUAUGUUUAGUACUUUUUUGGUUGCUGAGUGUAAGAGGCGUUCUUACGCAAAUGGCUUCGACAAAAGAUUAGAUGUUUCUUCCUUGCUUCUUCCCUCUUUUCUUAUCUCCCUUUUUGAUCAUGCUAUUUAUUACCUAGUUGUACCCUGUUCCUGAGUAAUUGGAAUUUGAUUUCUUGGCCCACUUUUUUUUUGCAGAUUCUCCUGCUUGGGUAGGGAAUAUAAAUACCUGUUUUGGAAGCGGGGCUUGGAUGUAUCGGUAACUAUGUUAGCCUUGAUUUCUGUACUUUGCUACAUUUGCCAUUUUUACCGAGCCAUUGACUUUAAAUUGUCAACAGAAAAUGCAGAAAGCUGCAUUUAAAUUCAUUGGGGAACAUGACUUCAGGAAUUUCUGUAAGAUGGAUGCAGCAAAUGUGAGCAACUACAAGCGAUACAUUACAGAUUUUAAUAUUUCUGCUUGUGACCAAAGGUUAAAUUGCAUUUCCCUUCUUUCUAGUUACAAACAUGUGAUUCAUGUAAUACCUGAACUAAAUAAUGGAAGUGCUCUGUAUUUCAAGGUCCAACCAUGAUGAGCUGUGGUCCAUGAAUAUCAGGGGUAGCGCCUUUCUGUGGCAUCAAGUUCGUUGCAUGGCAGCUGUUCUGUUUUUUGUAGGUCAAGGCCUUGAAUCACCUUGUGUGAGUAUUUUUUCCCUCUUUCUGAAGCUUCCUUUUAUUUUUUCGAACAGUGAAGUGAAUUACACAAUUGAACUUGGCGCAGAAGUUCCUUUGUCUCAUUUGUUUGGAUUAUUUACAUUCAGUAGCUUGUUUAUUUUGGUACAGGUAGUUGACUCAUUGCUGGAUAUUACCAAGACUCCUAGAAAACCUCAAUAUACAAUGGCACCAGAGCUUCCAUUGAUUCUACGAUCUUGUCUAUUCGAUGGAGUCAGCUUCAUGUGUUCAUCAGGUAUGUCUCUGAAAAUUUGGCGUUUGACUCUAUACCCUUCCAGGGAGUAUUUUCAGCCUUGAAAUAUAGUUGUACUAUUGAUCUGCUAACAUCAUGUCUUCAUUCCUUGCUCGGUGAACUCUGUGAUUUUCCUGCUGCUUCCAGUAUAUGGAUUAUAUUGUAAAAAAUAGUGAGAUUUUAGAUCACAGUGAGCAUUAUAUCAUCCUUUUAUGAUUAAUUAUGCAUGCAUUCUUGAGAAUUAAAUAAGAUUUAACAGCAGUGGGAUAGCAUUGCCUGACAGUAAAUGAAAUAUACUCGUCUCAUAUAACUUAUGACCAUGACAUGAUAUUUUCACAAAAAUGGAACCUUCAUUUCGGAAAUACUUGGUGUCAGUUCUGUUAUAUUGAGUAAAGUGAAGACCGUCUAGGGAUUUUAUUAUCUAUCUGCAAUAAUUCUAUUUUUUGUGUGACAUAACUAAUUCCAGUGCGCUUUAUUCCUGUUUAGAUGCCAAUCAGGCUUUGAUUGAACACUUGAAGGAUGAACACCAUCAGUAUAUGCUCCAAGCUGCCAUAUUUGAUGAGGCUUUGACCUGUUUAUCUAUUCCAGGUACAUACAUUUAGAUCUUUGUGUAACUUUACUGUAAUAUUUUUGUGAUCUGAAAGGAGUUAGAUGUAAAUGCAGAGCCUAAUCCACUUGAAUACCCUAAGAAGAAGAGAAAACACAUCCCUCUCCUGUCACGGGAAGCUGAACGUAAGUUUUUUAUCGUGUGAAUUUGCAAAACAUCUUUCGUCUUUACAUCUUUUAUAAGCGGAACAAUGCUGUCUUAACACCAGUCUCUGUCAGGAGUCAACACUCUUUAACUUUCUAACACUUUGCUAUAACAGCUCCAAUGAUGUAUGCAUAAUUAUCCUCUUCAGCGUCAACGCUUGAUAACCUCUUUAUUUCGACGCAUUUGAUUCAACCCUCUUGUUUGUACUUUGCAUGUGAAAAUGCAUUUGCUAAUACUUUCACGUUCCAGCUUCUUACGAGGAACGCAGAGCAAGAGUAAAAGCUAAGUCAGCAAAUGUGUAGUUGAGUGGCUACCUUAAGUAGCACACUAAGAGUUUGGCCUUCGAAGAUCGGCGCGGCUGACUGGCUGAGUGUUAUAAUCAAUCCAGCAUCAAGGUAAUUUUGCCUUCCUGUUCCAGUCAAUUCGAGAAAUACGCAAACAAAUGCCUGCCUGCAUGCUCACGUAAUUCACUUAAAUCCUUGUUCAGGGGCAAUCUCCUCAUCAGAACGUCUCUCCUUGAAGCUUGUGUUCUUACUGUGUGCACUUCUGGGACGGGCUAAAGUGUUACGUGGCGAUGGGGAAUCGACAAAAGAAGUUCAUCGUUCAGAUCUCCUUCAAGUUUUGUAGGUUCUUCACCACCCUUCACCAUCUACCAGCCUUCUGACAGAACUUGAUAUGGAUCAUACAUAGUACAUACUAUAAUUUCUCAGGCGGCAAUGCUUGGUCCCUUGGCAUUGCUUUUGUACCAGCGGUUGGCUGCAAGAUGGCGACCUUUUAUUUUGCACUAUGCAGCGCCAAUUGUGUCAUGUGAUGGCUGGCUCGUGCUCUUCCUUUUUUUUUAGGCCUGAAACAUGUAAUGAUUUCCUCCAAAAGAUUCAUAAAUUCUGAAAUGCUGGGAUCGUCUGGCUGUAACAAUCAAAUCGAAUCUAGAACAGCAAUGCACAUGGUAAGAGAGUAGUAGUGCACCGUAUCGAGCAG
This 3808-nucleotide long non-coding RNA is filed under the name Triticum aestivum (bread wheat). RNAcentral describes it as "long non-coding RNA (TAES_LNC025195)". Lineage: Eukaryota; Viridiplantae; Streptophyta; Magnoliopsida; Poales; Poaceae. The record is from RNAcentral.